RNAcentral lists this ribosomal RNA (253 nucleotides) under uncultured bacterium. RNAcentral describes it as "partial 16S ribosomal RNA". It matches the Rfam family "Bacterial small subunit ribosomal RNA", at positions 524 to 776 of the family's 1533-position model. The record is from RNAcentral.
UACCGAGGUCCCGAGCGUUGUUCGGAUUCAUUGGGCGUAAAGGGUGCGUAGGCGUCGGGGCAAGUCUGAUGUGAAAUCCCGGGGCUCAACCCCGGAACUGCAUUGGAUACUGCCUUGCUCGAGUACUGGAGAGGGAACUGGAAUUUACGGUGUAGCAGUGAAAUGCGUAGAGAUCGUAAGGAAGGCCAGGGGCGAAGGCGAGUUCCUGGACAGUUACUGACGCUGAGGCACGAAGGCCAGGGGAGCAAACGGG